RNAcentral lists this ribosomal RNA (486 nucleotides) under uncultured bacterium. RNAcentral describes it as "partial 16S ribosomal RNA". It matches the Rfam family "Bacterial small subunit ribosomal RNA", at positions 30 to 507 of the family's 1533-position model. The record is from RNAcentral.
AUUGAACGCUGGCGGCAUGCCUUACACAUGCAAGUCGAACGGCAGCACGGGUGCUUGCACCUGGUGGCGAGUGGCGAACGGGUGAGUAAUACAUCGGAACAUGUCCUGUAGUGGGGGAUAGCCCGGCGAAAGCCGGAUUAAUACCGCAUACGAUCCACGGAUGAAAGCGGGGGACCUUCGGGCCUCGCGCUAUAGGGUUGGCCGAUGGCUGAUUAGCUAGUUGGUGGGGUAAAGGCCUACCAAGGCGACGAUCAGUAGCUGGUCUGAGAGGACGACCAGCCACACUGGGACUGAGACACGGCCCAGACUCCUACGGGAGGCAGCAGUAGGGAAUUUUGGACAAUGGGCGAAAGCCUGACGCAGCAACGCCGCGUGAGUGAUGAAGGUCUUCGGGUUGUAAAGCACUUUUGUCCGGGAAGAAAUCCUUGGCUAUAAUACAGUCGGGGGAUGACGGUACCGGAAGAGAAAGCACCGGCUAACUACGUG